GCCGGGCAAGGUGGCUCAUGCCUGUAAUCCCAGUAGCUCAGAAGGCUGAGGCAGGAGGAUCAUGAGUUCAAAGCCAGCCUCAGCAAAAAUCAAGGUGCUAAGCAACUCAGUGAGAGCCCUGCCUCUA
This 127-nucleotide small RNA is filed under the name Marmota monax (woodchuck). Lineage: Eukaryota; Metazoa; Chordata; Mammalia; Rodentia; Sciuridae. The record is from RNAcentral.